UACGUAGGGUGCGUGCGUUGUCCGGAAUUAUUGGGCGUAAAGAGCUCGUAGGCGGCUUGUCGCGUCGGAUGUGAAAGCCCGGGGCUUAACCCCGGGUCUGCAUUCGAUACGGGCAGGCUAGAGUUCGGUAGGGGAGAUCGGAAUUCCUGGUGUAGCGGUGAAAUGCGCAGAUAUCAGGAGGAACACCGGUGGCGAAGGCGGAUCUCUGGGCCGAUACUGACGCUGAGGAGCGAAAGCGUGGGGAGCGAACAGG
This 253-nucleotide ribosomal RNA is filed under the name uncultured bacterium. RNAcentral's name for it is "partial 16S ribosomal RNA". It matches the Rfam family "Bacterial small subunit ribosomal RNA", at positions 524 to 776 of the family's 1533-position model. The record is from RNAcentral.